GAUGAAGAACGUAGCGAAAUGCGAUACUUGGUGUGAAUUGCAGAAUCCCGUGAACCAUCGAGUCUUUGAACGCAAGUUGCGCCCGAAGCCACUAGGCCGAGGGCACGCCUCCCUGGGCGUCACACGCCGUUGCCCCCCCAUCUACUCCUUCGGGAUUGCGGGGGGGCGGAUGAUGGCCUCCUGUGCGCCUAGCCGCGCGGUUGGCAUAAAUACCAAGUCCUCGGCGACGCACGCCACGACAAUCGGUGGUUGCGAAACCUCGGUUGCCCGUCGUGUGCGUUCGUCGCGCAUCGAGGGCUCGAAAAAAUGCUCGGCUCCGGCUGGGCUUUCAACGCGACCCCAGGUCAGGCGGGGUUACCCGCUGAAUUUAAGCAUAUCAAUAAGCGGAGGA
Molecule: unclassified non-coding RNA, 391 nt
Filed under: soil metagenome
Description: partial contains 5.8S ribosomal RNA, internal transcribed spacer 2, and large subunit ribosomal RNA
Rfam family: 5.8S ribosomal RNA (bases 1-122)
Source: RNAcentral